CCCACUGAACACGCUGGAAGCAUAGAAAGUGAAACUCAAGAGCUGCUGCGGUGACGGUUUCCUAUGGACAACAUGAGGCUGCUCCUCCCUUUUCAACCAGGCGGACACAGAAGCAAGCGGGGUGCCGUGAAUCAGCUCAGAGUCUAGCUUUUAAAUUAAAAGUUUGACUGGAACCCUGGCCCGCUUCUUUAAGUGUAGGUGGGUGAAGGAGAAGAGACCCCGCAUGUGGCCACUGUGUCUGUUUUAUAACCUCAGUCCCGUGUGCUUGGGGAGCACAAGUCCAGGAAUAUCUGGGGGCAUUGCUGAGUCUCCUGGCAAGGUUGAGCAGUUCCCCUGGUGUGGUGUCAUGCAGAUGGCUGUGUUUUACCUGUGAGUCUUCCUGUAUACGUGUGUGCUGGCAAGUGGG
Molecule: long non-coding RNA, 406 nt
Organism: Trachemys scripta elegans
Lineage: Eukaryota; Metazoa; Chordata; Testudines; Emydidae
Exons: 3
Source: RefSeq, a predicted model, not a curated record